GCUUAUCUCCUCUAGCUCAGUUGGUAGAGCACGAGACUCUUGAUCUCAGGGUCGUGGGGCUGAGCCCCAUGUUGGGCA
This is a non-coding RNA of Podarcis lilfordi (Lilford's wall lizard), 78 nucleotides long. Lineage: Eukaryota; Metazoa; Chordata; Lepidosauria; Squamata; Lacertidae. The record is from the annotation of a GenBank genome assembly.